GGGGUUGUGGCUUAGUGGUAGAGCACUCACCUAGCAUGUGUGAGGCACUGGAUUCAACCCCC
Molecule: transfer RNA, 62 nt
Filed under: Ictidomys tridecemlineatus (thirteen-lined ground squirrel)
Lineage: Eukaryota; Metazoa; Chordata; Mammalia; Rodentia; Sciuridae
Description: Spermophilus tridecemlineatus (thirteen-lined ground squirrel) tRNA
Rfam family: tRNA
About the family: Transfer RNA (tRNA) molecules are approximately 80 nucleotides in length.
Source: Rfam by way of RNAcentral